This 466-nucleotide ribosomal RNA is filed under the name uncultured bacterium. RNAcentral's name for it is "partial 16S ribosomal RNA". It matches the Rfam family "Bacterial small subunit ribosomal RNA", at positions 28 to 507 of the family's 1533-position model. The record is from RNAcentral.
GAUGAACGCUGGCGGCGUGCUUAACACAUGCAAGUCGAACGAUGAAGCCCAGCUUGCUGGGUGGAUUAGUGGCGAACGGGUGAGUAACACGUGAGUAACCUGCCCUUAACUCUGGGAUAAGCCUGGGAAACUGGGUCUAAUACCGGAUAGGAGCGUCCACCGCAUGGUGGGUGUUGGAAAGAUUUAUCGGUUUUGGAUGGACUCGCGGCCUAUCAGCUUGUUGGUGAGGUAAUGGCUCACCAAGGCGACGACGGGUAGCCGGCCUGAGAGGGUGACCGGCCACACUGGGACUGAGACACGGCCCAGACUCCUACGGGAGGCAGCAGUGGGGAAUAUUGCACAAUGGGCGCAAGCCUGACGCAGCGACGCCGCGUGAGGGAUGACGGCCUUCGGGUUGUAAACCUCUUUCAGUAGGGAAGAAGCGAAAGUGACGGUACCUGCAGAAGAAGCACCGGCUAACUACGUG